This 409-nucleotide ribosomal RNA is filed under the name Fusobacteriota bacterium. RNAcentral's name for it is "Fusobacteria bacterium partial 16S ribosomal RNA". It matches the Rfam family "Bacterial small subunit ribosomal RNA", at positions 355 to 776 of the family's 1533-position model. The record is from RNAcentral. Lineage: Bacteria; Fusobacteriati; Fusobacteriota.
UGGGGAAUAUUGCACAAUGGAGGGAACUCUGAUGCAGCAACGCCGCGUGCGGGAUGACGGCCUUCGGGUUGUAAACCGCUUUCAGCCAUGACGAAGCUUUUGUGACGGUAGUGGUAGAAGAAGCACCGGCUAACUACGUGCCAGCAGCCGCGGUGAUACGUAGGGUGCGAGCGUUGUCCGGAAUUAUUGGGCGUAAAGAGCUUGUAGGCGGUUUGUCGCGUCGAUAGUGUAAACACGCAGCUUAACUGUGUGCCUGCUGUCGAUACGGGCUGACUAGAGGAGGGUAGGGGAGAAUGGAAUUCCCGGUGGAGCGGUGGAAUGCGCAGUUAUCGGGAGGAACACCAGUGGCGAAGGCGGUUCUCUGGACCUUUCCUGACGCUGAGAAGCGAAAGCGUGGGUAGCAAACAGG